RNAcentral lists this ribosomal RNA (933 nucleotides) under Cortinarius porphyroideus. RNAcentral's name for it is "eukaryotic LSU rRNA". It matches the Rfam family "Eukaryotic large subunit ribosomal RNA", at positions 40 to 960 of the family's 3401-position model. Lineage: Eukaryota; Fungi; Basidiomycota; Agaricomycetes; Agaricales; Cortinariaceae. RNAcentral also lists the same sequence under 1 other name. The record is from RNAcentral.
AUAUCAAUAAGCGGAGGAAAAGAAACUAACAAGGAUUCCCCUAGUAACUGCGAGUGAAGCGGGAAAAGCUCAAAUUUAAAAUCUGUCAGCCUUUGGCUGUCCGAGUUGUAAUCUAGAGAAGUGUUAUCCGCGCUGGACCGUGUACAAGUCUCCUGGAAUGGAGCGUCAUAGAGGGUGAGAAUCCCGUCUUUGACACGGACUGCCAGGGCUUUGUGAUGCGCUCUCAAAGAGUCGAGUUGUUUGGGAAUGCAGCUCAAAAUGGGUGGUAAAUUCCAUCUAAAGCUAAAUAUUGGCGAGAGACCGAUAGCGAACAAGUACCGUGAGGGAAAGAUGAAAAGAACUUUGGAAAGAGAGUUAAACAGUACGUGAAAUUGCUGAAAGGGAAACGCUUGAAGUCAGUCGCGUUGUCCAGGGAUCAACCUUGCUUUUGCUUGGUGUACUUUCUGGUUAACGGGUCAGCAUCAAUUUUGACUGUUGGAAAAAGAUCAGGGGAAUGUGGCAUCUUCGGAUGUGUUAUAGCCCUUGGUUGCAUACAAUGGUUGGGAUUGAGGAACUCAGCACGCCGCAAGGCCGGGUUUUAACCACGUACGUGCUUAGGAUGCUGGCAUAAUGGCUUUAAUCGACCCGUCUUGAAACACGGACCAAGGAGUCUAACAUGCCUGCGAGUGUUUGGGUGGAAAACCCGAGCGCGUAAUGAAAGUGAAAGUUGAGAUCCUUGUCAUGGGGAGCAUCGACGCCCGGACCAGACCUUUUGUGACGGUUCCGCGGUAGAGCAUGUAUGUUGGGACCCGAAAGAUGGUGAACUAUGCCUGAAUAGGGUGAAGCCAGAGGAAACUCUGGUGGAGGCUCGUAGCGAUUCUGACGUGCAAAUCGAUCGUCAAAUUUGGGUAUAGGGGCGAAAGACUAAUCGAACCAUCUAGUAGCUGGGUCCUG